RNAcentral lists this ribosomal RNA (253 nucleotides) under uncultured bacterium. RNAcentral's name for it is "partial 16S ribosomal RNA". It matches the Rfam family "Bacterial small subunit ribosomal RNA", at positions 524 to 776 of the family's 1533-position model. The record is from RNAcentral.
UACGUAGGGUGCGAGCGUUGUCCGGAAUUAUUGGGCGUAAAGAGCUCGUAGGCGGCCUGUUGCGUCGGUUGUGAAAGCCCGGGGCUUAACCCCGGGUCUGCAGUCGAUACGGGCAGGCUAGAGUUCGGUAGGGGAGAUCGGAAUUCCUGGUGUAGCGGUGAAAUGCGCAGAUAUCAGGAGGAACACCGGUGGCGAAGGCGGGACUCUGGGCCGAUACUGACGCUCAUGCACGAAAGCGUGGGGAGCAAACAGG